Molecule: non-coding RNA, 29 nt
Filed under: Mus musculus (house mouse)
Lineage: Eukaryota; Metazoa; Chordata; Mammalia; Rodentia; Muridae
Source: RNAcentral
UCAGAUGUGCCACUUACUGAUUGAUGCCU